This 516-nucleotide long non-coding RNA is filed under the name Malus domestica (apple). Its description in RNAcentral is "long non-coding RNA (MDOM_LNC020770)". Lineage: Eukaryota; Viridiplantae; Streptophyta; Magnoliopsida; Rosales; Rosaceae. The record is from RNAcentral.
AUUUUGUUCUCAACCUAAUUUGGGCCAAAAUGCAAUUACCACAACUUUUGGGCUAUAUUGCAAAAACAUAAACUUUUGGGGUCACUUUAUAAAAACACAAAAGUCCACUACUUCAUGUAAUCACAACUAGAACCCAAAAAUUUCAACAAAUUGAAAAACAUCAUUAAAGGAACAAAACAAUUUGUCCUUUAGCGUUUUUGGACCUAAACGUAAAAACGUAAACUUUUGGGCCAAAGUGCAAAUACACAAAAGUAUCAAAACUUUAUGUAAUUGCAAUAAAAGCCCCAAAAAGUACCCUAUUUUAAUAGGGUGGCCGGUUUUAGAUAGAAGGGAGUGAUGUGUGUGUUGAUUUGAAGUUUUAGACAUAAAGCAUGCAAGUGGUGCAUGACAUAAAUGUCAUGCAAGUGGUGUGUGUGAAAGGGAAUUAAUCCUUACACACCCACCAAUAUUUCUUACACCUUUCUAAAUAAAUAUCUAACACAUUUAAACAUAUGAAAAACAUAAAACAUAAACUUU